This is a non-coding RNA of Zootermopsis nevadensis, 73 nucleotides long. The record is from Rfam. Lineage: Eukaryota; Metazoa; Arthropoda; Insecta; Blattodea; Termopsidae.
GCCACGGUGGUCUAGCGGUUAGAACAACGGCCUUGUAAUCCUGGGGUCUCGGGUUCGAUUCCCGGCGGUGCCC